UGUGUUUUAUAUUUAAAGACAUUCUAGUAAUUUAUUCUGCAGUCAUCCAUCCCUUCGUUUCCCUAAUUCCAGGGGUAAAACUAAAACUCCGGCUCACUCUGAACCAGACCUUCAAAGUGUGUUGCUUUACUGCUGCCGUUGUUGAUUUUAAGAGCACGGGGUUUUUAUUUAACUUGAUGUAUCUGUGUAAACCAAAAAGUAGGUCUCACAAGUUUCCCUCGGGCGUGCCAGGUUCUCUGGUGAUGCCCACAUUGGCCUCAUGAGCUGGUAAUCUAAGAAUCAUAUAAAGGAGGGAGUGAACAUUGGAAAUUCUGAGGCGAGAGAUGCUAAACACGAGCGUACAGCACUCCCUUGAAAGCGUGGGUUGGACUCUCAACAGUGACAGGAUGUCAAAAAGGGCCUCAAUCCAGCAUCCUUCCUGUUGGUUUUCAUGUCACCAGAGGCAUCUAGCAGGACACUCGGCCGAAGCAGAGGACAGAGCGGACCUCGUUCACUUCUGCCCUUUAUCACUUCCUCGCGAGGUAAAGGCAGGUACUGAAUUACCUGGCACACAGUGAACACACAACAGAUUGGUGUUUGUCUCUUCCCUCUCCCGGGGGGUGUAGACAUAGCUGUUGUCGAUGUGGGUGGUACUGUGCAUGUGUACAUCUAUGUGUAUCUGUUGGAGAAUUAAUGAUGUGGCUAUCAUAAGAACUCAGUCCUAAAAAGAUGGCUUCAUGGAAAUCUCAUCAGUGAUGGUAGUGAAACAGUUACCAGACUACAAUACUGUCCUGUUCUACUAUGUGAAGAAACCAUGAUCCUGCUUACCAUAAAACAGACAGCACCAGAGGCUAAUGUUGCUGCUUUCGUGGUGAAAAAGAAGAGUUAUUGUUUUCCAAAAGUCUGUCUGUGGCCACCUCAGAAGUUCAACUUCCGUCAAGAGAGGGCAGAAGAAACCUAUACCUAGCCAUUAAAGGUAUGCGUGCCUACAUGUGGAUAUCGGCACAGGAAUGCAGUGCCCAUGGAAGCCAGAAGUGUUGAUCCUCUGAAGUCAGAGUUACGGACAGUUGUGAGCGACCUUACUGGGCUCUGGGAUGGCACUUGGGUCCUCUGGAAGAUCAGCAAGUAUUCCUAACUGCUGAGUUUAAGUCUACCCCAUAUUGUUAGUUUUCUUGUUAUGACUAAAGCAGGUAUAGUUAAAUACUUCUAGAAGGUUACCAUAGGCUAGCACCACUGCCCUAGUCCAUUUGCUUGCUCCACUGAACCCAUGUUUGAAGGCCACAUGACCAAUGGUGAGCUGCCUGCCUGAGGUCUCUGCACUUCACUUGCAGGGCCUGGUUUCCUACUGUGAGUAGAAAUGCUAAAUCGGAAGGUGCAUGAAACUUGUAUUUUAAUACAUGUCACCAAACUACUCUCCCAAAAAUCCACGUGACAACUAACAGAGAUUUUUCAAUUGAACACAUACCAUGUGGCAGGCAUUAUACUGUAUAUCAUUUAAAUCUUAGUGUGAUUUUUUAAAUGGAUUUUAUCUUCAUUAUAUCAUAUGAUGAAAAUGAGGUACAGAUAAAUAAAGUUAUGUGCAGAAGUCCCACAAGAAAAAGGUGGCAGAGGAAGAUUUGAUUCAGAUCUGAGUCAAAAUAGACCACAUACUUUCCAAUGCCUUCAAAAUUAAAAUUAACUAGGGCCAUUAAAAUUACCCACAAAUCUGCUAGAUUUAGAAGGGAUUGAAUACAUGAUCCCCACAUUUGCUUGCUUGCCUAUAAAAUGAGACUACCACAAUUCAGGCAGCAUCUCAGGUUUCUGUACUCUCUGGCAUUGGUCCCCGAGGGAUGCUGGGAUGUCUGCAUAUGAGCAGUUUGGGAUGGAAGUAUGUUCCUCCUUCAUAUUUGCAGGUAUCAGAUAAAGACAUAGAUUCUAGGUAGAGACAGAAGCUUUUAGCUGAGUUGGAGCUUAUCCAACUGCCUCAUAUAUAGCCCAGACUUUUUAAUGGGUUCUGUCUUUAGACAUGUCCAGAGGGAAGAGACCAUUAGCAGGAAUAUGUGGUUUGGAUAUAAAAUGCUGUAAAUGCAGAGUUUAGCCUUUAGCAUUGUGGUUCUAGGGAUCAUGCCAUACAGCAGAUUCAGGAUCAUUACAAGGUAACAGUAAACAAGAGACUCCCCCAAAUGCAUGGAAACUGUAAUUCUGCACUCACAAGAUGACGUCACACACACACACCUGUUCUCUGUUCCCGAAUCUGUAGUGAAUAGACCUAGGAUGAUAAUUUUCAUACAUUGUUCCUUGUUAAAAACAUGGCUCGCCAAGCUUCAUCUUAACAGAGUUUUUAAUUCACUGGGUUUCUGAUAGCAGCAGCAUUCUGGACUUGUUCUAAAACCCCCAGUUGGUUCUAAAUGGAGGGGUUCCUAGGCUCCCUUUGAGAAACAAACACCACACCUGGCUGAUGUGGCAGAGGUGGGGAAAGGGGUUUCAUCUCUUAGCUUGCAAAUGGCCUUGCAGAUGUUCAAUUAUGGAGCAGAAGAAAAAUGGCUAAGAGGUUAGAAUAGGCAGACUGGGAGAGGCAUUUCCUUUGGGGUGUAUUUUUCUCCUGCAUGUAAUUACUGAUGCUAUCAAAGCCUGUACACAUUGUAUUCUGUUGUCACUGUUACUGAAAUUAUACUUCGAAGUUAAGCCCUAUUUAUUGAUAUCAGAAUAAAUCCAGGGAAAUUGGUAAAAUAAACACCAUCAUAAAACCUU
Peromyscus maniculatus bairdii (prairie deer mouse) is the source of this 2709-nucleotide non-coding RNA. Lineage: Eukaryota; Metazoa; Chordata; Mammalia; Rodentia; Cricetidae. The record is from RefSeq and is a predicted model, not a curated record.